This 484-nucleotide ribosomal RNA is filed under the name uncultured bacterium. RNAcentral's name for it is "partial 16S ribosomal RNA". It matches the Rfam family "Bacterial small subunit ribosomal RNA", at positions 29 to 507 of the family's 1533-position model. The record is from RNAcentral.
AUUGAACGCUGGCGGCAUGCUUUACACAUGCAAGUCGAACGGCAGCGCGGCCUUCGGUCUGGCGGCGAGUGGCGAACGGGUGAGUAAUGCAUCGGAACAUGCCCAGUCGUGGGGGAUAGCCCUUCGAAAGACGUAUUAAUACCGCAUACGCCCUGAGGGUGAAAGCGGGGGAUCGAAAGACCUCGCGCUAUUGGAGUGGCCGAUGUCGGAUUAGCUAGUUGGUGGGGUAAAGGCCUACCAAGGCGACGAUCCGUAGCUGGUCUGAGAGGAUGACCAGCCACACUGGGACUGAGACACGGCCCAGACUCCUACGGGAGGCAGCAGUGGGGAAUUUUGGACAAUGGGGGCAACCCUGAUCCAGCCAUGCCGCGUGAGUGAAGAAGGCCUUCGGGUUGUAAAGCGCUUUCGGUAGGAAAGAAAUGCUGUGGGCUAAUACAGCGCGGUGAUGACGGUACCGGAAGAAGAAGCACCGGCUAACUACGUG